UACAUGGGGUGCAAACGUUGUUCGGAAUUACUGGGCGUAAAGCGCACGUAGGCGGUUCGUUAAGUCAGAUGUGAAAGCCCCCGGCUCAACCGGGGAAGUGCAUCUGAAACUGGCGAGCUAGAGUACGAAAGAGGGUCGCGGAAUUCCCGGUGUAGAGGUGAAAUUCGUAGAUAUCGGGAGGAACACCGGUGGCGAAGGCGGCGACCUGGGUCGAUACUGACGCUGAGGUGCGAAAGCGUGGGGAGCAAACAGG
Molecule: ribosomal RNA, 253 nt
Filed under: uncultured bacterium
Lineage: Bacteria
Description: partial 16S ribosomal RNA
Rfam family: Bacterial small subunit ribosomal RNA
Source: RNAcentral